Long non-coding RNA from Cyprinus carpio carpio, 626 nucleotides. The record is from Ensembl. Lineage: Eukaryota; Metazoa; Chordata; Actinopteri; Cypriniformes; Cyprinidae.
AGAGGGGAACAGAGAGCGCGCUGAUUGAAGCAGCAGUUGUGUGACUGCACCGAGUGGAUGACUUAAGUCAGUGUUUAUAUUAGUGUUUGUUGCCGCAUAUGAGAGAUCUCCGGUGGGGGAGGGGAUUCAGGCCUACUUCGACGGAGAUUGAGCAGGGGAGAACAAGCUGGUGAGAUCGCAUGUGCCAGUUUCCACGUGAUUGAUAAUCCGGAGUCUCAUAUAACAGCACAUAUAAGCCACUGCCGUUGUUUCGCACACCUUUAUGGGUUCUUUAACAUUGGUUGCACUAUUUCAAGUCAAAUUGGGGCUUGUGAUCUGGUGUUUUGAUUAGAGGUUAUUAUUGUAAAGGACUUAUUUUUAUUCUUUACAUUUCUUUUUAUACCUUAUUUCACUUCCUGUGCCCAUUGAAGUGAAUUGGGUAACGUCAUUUAUUUUGUUUUAUUAUUGUUUUAUUUGACUUUUCUUGUUUAACUGGAUUGAAGUCCUGAGAAAAUACUAUUUUUCCCCUGAACCAAACAUUAAUGCUGGGUCUCCAUUUGAGGCUCAGUGAAGAAUAAAAGAAUCCUUUUCAGUAGAUGUCUUGGCAUUGUCUUUUUCUUAGUAUAUUAGAAGGACGUCUAGCCGGC